UACGGGGGGGGCAAGCGUUGUUCGGAGUUACUGGGCGUAAAGGGCUCGUAGGCGGCCAACUAAGUCAGACGUGAAAUCCCCAGGCUCAACCUGGGAACUGCGUCUGAUACUGGAUGGCUUGAAUCCGGGAGAGGGAUGCAGAAUUCCAGGUGUAGCGGUGAAAUGCGUAGAUAUCAGGAGGAACACCGAUGGCGAAGGCAGGUCUCUGGGCUGAAACUGACGCUCAUGCACGAAAGCGUGGGGAGCAAACAGG
RNAcentral lists this ribosomal RNA (253 nucleotides) under uncultured bacterium. RNAcentral describes it as "partial 16S ribosomal RNA". It matches the Rfam family "Bacterial small subunit ribosomal RNA", at positions 524 to 776 of the family's 1533-position model. The record is from RNAcentral.